This 519-nucleotide ribosomal RNA is filed under the name uncultured Glomus. RNAcentral's name for it is "SSU rRNA". It matches the Rfam family "Eukaryotic small subunit ribosomal RNA", at positions 569 to 1092 of the family's 1831-position model. The record is from RNAcentral. Lineage: Eukaryota; Fungi; Glomeromycota; Glomeromycetes; Glomerales; Glomeraceae.
AGCAGCCGCGGUAAUUCCAGCUCCAAUAGCGUAUAUUAAAGUUGUUGCAGUUAAAAAGCCCGUAGUUGAAUUUCGGGAUCAAUAUGUUGGUCGUGCCUUGGUACGUACUGGCAUUAUCGAUUCCUACCUUCUGAAGAACCUCGAUGUCAUUAAUUUGGUGUCUUGGGGAAUCAGGACUGUUACUUUGAAAAAAUUAGAGUGUUUAAAGCAGGCUCGCGCUUGAAUACAUUAGCAUGGAAUAAUGAAAUAGGACGUUUGAUUCUAUUUUGUUGGUUUCUAGGAUCGACGUAAUGAUUAAUAGGGAUAGUUGGGGGCAUUAGUAUUCAAUUGUCAGAGGUGAAAUUCUUGGAUUUAUUGAAGACUAACUACUGCGAAAGCAUUUGCCAAGGAUGUUUUCAUUAAUCAAGAACGAAAGUUAGGGGAUCGAAGACGAUCAGAUACCGUCGUAGUCUUAACCAUAAACUAUGCCGACUAGGGAUCGGAUGAUGUUAAUUUUUAUGACUCAUUCGGCGCCUUAAC